Molecule: transfer RNA, 82 nt
Filed under: Perca flavescens (yellow perch)
Lineage: Eukaryota; Metazoa; Chordata; Actinopteri; Perciformes; Percidae
Rfam family: tRNA
About the family: Transfer RNA (tRNA) molecules are approximately 80 nucleotides in length. Their secondary structure includes four short double-helical elements and three loops (D, anti-codon, and T loops).
Source: Rfam by way of RNAcentral
GACGAGGUGACCGAGUGAUUAAGGCGAUGUGCUGCUAAUUCAUUGUACUCUGCACGCGUGGGUUUGAAUCCCAUCCCCGUCA